UUGGGAUAUUAUCUCCGUGGUUGUUCUGAUUUAUAAUGAUGACGGUAAACGAUUCCCAUAUAUCGAUUUAAUGCUUUUACAGAGGUUGGCUGGUGUUGAAAUUUACGAAUUUCCAAAGAUACCGGCUAACUUUUGAAGGGCACUUAUAAUY
This 151-nucleotide small nucleolar RNA is filed under the name Brettanomyces bruxellensis AWRI1499. The record is from RNAcentral. Lineage: Eukaryota; Fungi; Ascomycota; Pichiomycetes; Pichiales; Pichiaceae.